AUUGCACGCUGGCGGCAGGCCUAACACAUGCAAGUCGAGCGAGCGGCGGACGGGUGAGUAAUGUAUGGGGACUGCCCGAUAGAGGGGGAUAACUACUGGAAACGGUAGCUAAUACCGCAUACUAUCGGAUAACCCAUAGGGGAUUAGCUAGUAGGUGAGGUAAUGGCUCCACUCGGCGACGAUCCCUAGCUGGGCUGAGAGGAUGAUCAGCCACACUGGGACGGAGACACGGCCCAGACUCCUACGGAGGCAGAAGUGGGGAAUAUUGCACAAUGGGCGAAAGCCUGAUGCAGCCAUGCGGCGUGUAUGAAUAAGGCCCUAGGGGUGUAAAGUACUUUCAGUCGGGAGGCGUUACCGACAGAAGAAGCACCGGCUAACUCCGUGCCAGCAGCCGCGGUAAUAC
RNAcentral lists this ribosomal RNA (403 nucleotides) under uncultured bacterium. RNAcentral describes it as "partial 16S ribosomal RNA". It matches the Rfam family "Bacterial small subunit ribosomal RNA", at positions 30 to 526 of the family's 1533-position model. The record is from RNAcentral.